AUCUACGGCCAUACUACCUUGAACACUCCUGAUCCCAUCUGAUCUUGGAAGCUAAGCAGGGUCGGGCCUGGUUAGUACUCGAAUGGGGGACCACCUAGGAAGACCAGGUGCUGUAGGCG
Non-coding RNA from Pteropus alecto (black flying fox), 119 nucleotides. The record is from Rfam. NCBI's taxonomy places the organism in Eukaryota, Metazoa, Chordata, Mammalia, Chiroptera, Pteropodidae.